GGAUCAAUAAUGAGUUAAUGUCUUGAACAGAAGUGAAAACACAAAAAUCAAGCUCAGUUGGAUUAUUCUGAAGCCC
This is a small nucleolar RNA of Ailuropoda melanoleuca (giant panda), 76 nucleotides long. Its record names the gene SNORD115. It matches the Rfam family "Small nucleolar RNA SNORD115". Rfam says of the family: HBII-52 is a member of the C/D class of snoRNAs, which contain the C (UGAUGA) and D (CUGA) box motifs. HBII-52 is encoded in a tandemly repeated array with another C/D snoRNA, HBII-85, in the Prader-Willi syndrome (PWS) region of chromosome 15. HBII-52 is exclusively expressed in the brain but is absent in PWS patients. The record is from Ensembl. NCBI's taxonomy places the organism in Eukaryota, Metazoa, Chordata, Mammalia, Carnivora, Ursidae.